AGAGUUUGAUCCUGGCUCAGAUUGAACGCUAGCGGGAUGCUUUACACAUGCAAGUCGAACGGCAGCACGAGAGAGCUUGCUCUCUUGGUGGCGAGUGGCGGACGGGUGAGUAAUAUAUCGGAACGUGCCCAGUAGCGGGGGAUAACUACUCGAAAGAGUGGCUAAUACCGCAUACGCCCUACGGGGGAAAGGGGGGGAUCGCAAGACCUCUCACUAUUGGAGCGGCCGAUAUCGGAUUAGCUAGUUGGUGGGGUAAAGGCUCACCAAGGCAACGAUCCGUAGCUGGUUUGAGAGGACGACCAGCCACACUGGGACUGAGACACGGCCCAGACUCCUACGGGAGGCAGCAGUGGGGAAUUUUGGACAAUGGGGGAAACCCUGAUCCAGCCAUCCCGCGUGUAUGAUGAAGGCCUUCGGGUUGUAAAGUACUUUUGGCAGAGAAGAAAAGGCAUCCCCUAAUACGGGAUGCUGCUGACGGUAUCUGCAGAAUAAGCACCGGCUAACUACGUGCCAGCAGCCGCGGUAAUACGUAGGGUGCAAGCGUUAAUCGGAAUUACUGGGCGUAAAGCGUGUGUAGGCGGUUCGGAAAGAAAGAUGUGAAAUCCCAGGGCUCAACCUUGGAACUGCAUUUUUAACUGCCGAGCUAGAGUAUGUCAGAGGGGGGUAGAAUUCCACGUGUAGCAGUGAAAUGCGUAGAUAUGUGGAGGAAUACCGAUGGCGAAGGCAGCCCCCUGGGAUAAUACUGACGCUCAGACACGAAAGCGUGGGGAGCAAACAGGAUUAGAUACCCCGGUAGUCCACGCCCUAAACGAUGUCAACUAGCUGUUGGGGCCGUUAGGCCUUAGUAGCGCAGCUAACGCGUGAAGUUGACCGCCUGGGGAGUACGGUCGCAAGAUUAAAACUCAAAGGAAUUGACGGGGACCCGCACAAGCGGUGGAUGAUGUGGAUUAAUUCGAUGCAACGCGAAAAACCUUACCUACCCUUGACAUGUCUGGAAUGCCGAAGAGAUUUGGCAGUGCUCGCAAGAGAACCGGAACACAGGUGCUGCAUGGCUGUCGUCAGCUCGUGUCGUGAGAUGUUGGGUUAAGUCCCGCAACGAGCGCAACCCUUGUCAUUAGUUGCUACGCAAGAGCACUCUAAUGAGACUGCCGGUGACAAACCGGAGGAAGGUGGGGAUGACGUCAAGUCCUCAUGGCCCUUAUGGGUAGGGCUUCACACGUCAUACAAUGGUCGGGACAGAGGGUCGCCAACCCGCGAGGGGGAGCCAAUCUCAGAAACCCGAUCGUAGUCCGGAUCGCAGUCUGCAACUCGACUGCGUGAAGUCGGAAUCGCUAGUAAUCGCGGAUCAGAAUGUCGCGGUGAAUACGUUCCCGGGUCUUGCACUCACCGCCCGUCA
Molecule: ribosomal RNA, 1396 nt
Filed under: uncultured bacterium
Lineage: Bacteria
Description: 16S ribosomal RNA
Rfam family: Bacterial small subunit ribosomal RNA
Source: RNAcentral